UCAAACUUGCGAUCCUCCAGCCUCAGCCUCCCAAGUCAAUGGGAUUAUAGAUGUGUGCCCCUGUGCCAGGUGAGUUUUAAACCUAUAUUAUUAACAUUCAUUUUCAUUUUGCUUUAUUAUGAAAAGUCAAAAGCUAGCAAUUUCCUGAAUAUAAUAAUUCAGCCAUUAAAUAAACGUUAGUUUUUGACCCUCAAUUAGCCUUACUCAUUUUCUUUGAAUGCCUUUAGUCAGAAAUAGAAGAUUGCUUUAAGCUUAAAUUUUUAUUAAUAACCUCGGGACAAAUACAUUAAUAAUAAUUCCUUAUAGAUAUAUAGCAUUUUACAAUUUUGAAAGAACUUUCACAUACACCAAUUAAACCCUCACAACAUCCCUGUGAGGUAGGCAGGGUAGGUGUUAUUUUCUAUUACUAAUGAGAACAAGGCUCAGAGGUCACACAGUUGGUAAAUGAUGGAGCCAGGACUAGAACUUGGGCCUUCCGACAUGCUGCCUCCCUGAGAACAUUCAAGUAAUGAUAUCCAUGCUAUAUAAUGAAAAUUUCUCUCCUAUGAUGUUGAUCAGAUCCAUUUUCGUAAGUUUUUAUAUCACCUUUCUCUAAUAUGCCUAAACAUUCAAACUGAUAAGACAUUUCUUCCCUGUUUCUGGACUAUUUCUUAGAUGUAUCAAGCACCAUCCUAAGAUGAAACUUACGAUUAAGUUUUGAGGAUCCUUGGCUACAAAUGCUUAGAUUAUGAUAUGAAGAUUUAUUUCAGAAAAUUCUGCCUAAAUAUUUCCAUGUCAUACAUGUCAAACUGAAACCAAACAGAAAAGGAGGAGAACCAUUAUAUUCUACUUUCAAGUCUGAUCCCAUCUCAUGUGUGAAAUCCUUAGCAACAAGCUAUAAAAAUGAUCUGAAUUAUACCAAUAGGAGGACUCGAGCAGUAGUGACCAAAACAUAUAUGUAUGUGGUACGAAUAAAACACUUGCUCUUCAGUGGUUCAUCUAGGUCCAGUGUAAAUUACUUCUCAAGGCAGAUUUUAAGCUAUACCAUCUCUUUUAAAUUUUAAAAUGUGAAAUAUGGUAGAGUUAUCAACUUGGAAUAUGACUGAAUGUAAAUGACCCCCCAACUACCUUUCAAGCAGACUAAAGCUCCAAAGAUAUGAAAGGCAAGGGAUAAAACCUAGUUUUUCUAGUAUGGAGUGAAAAAGAGCAACUGCAAAACUGCAGGUUCAAGUGAACCAUAGAACAUCGUGCAUGUUUUAAAAACAUGAAAAUGACCUGUAUUAUCAGGAAUGAUAUUUUGAAAAUUCCAGUUAUGACCUUCUACAUUUAAGAGUAAUGGGAUGAACCUAAGCCUGUGGGGGAUCUAGAGAGGGAGUUGGGAUGGGAAGUUAGGGAAAACCAAGAAAAACCUUAAAUACAUUCAUCUUUCCAAAAAUGUUUUCUAA
Non-coding RNA from Urocitellus parryii (Arctic ground squirrel), 1424 nucleotides. NCBI's taxonomy places the organism in Eukaryota, Metazoa, Chordata, Mammalia, Rodentia, Sciuridae. The record is from RefSeq and is a predicted model, not a curated record.